Molecule: long non-coding RNA, 1609 nt
Organism: Dicentrarchus labrax (European seabass)
Lineage: Eukaryota; Metazoa; Chordata; Actinopteri; Moronidae
Exons: 2
Source: RefSeq, a predicted model, not a curated record
UCCUCUGCCAGAUUUCUCUCAACUUGAUUUACAUGUACUGAUAUCUGUCUCCAAAGUGCAGUCUGUCCUGCGAGUAUGAGGAGAAGAGUGGCAAGGAGCUCAACUUGUCUCCAUUGCUGCCCUCUUCAACUCCCACCACUUCUCAUCUUGAACAGAAGAAGGAAUGAAGCCUCCGGGGGGAAAGAAAUCUACCUUUGAUAGAUGAAAAAUUUUCCGGCCGCUGUCAUCACAUCCCUCUGCAUUCACGCUCUGUUACUCCCAUGUUUUAAUGUCUCAUAACGAUGCGUGGCACCUUCCUAAUGACGCAUGAGCACUUCUUUGACACAGCCUUUUAAAGUCUUCAUGAAACAGCAGGAUAUAUUUUCAGUUGAAACAAGAUACUGGUGCAGAACAUAACACAGGGGAAGAUCAGUUAAAAGUGUGAACCGAAUGCAAGAAAAAGCAGCUUAAAUUGAUGGCAGGAAGAGAGUGAUGUCAAAAAUCUUGAAUCUGAAUUACAAAAAUAAAUUAAAAUGCAAUUUAUAGUUUUAUAGGACACUGUUCAGGCGAAAUUGGUGGAAACCAAAACAGACAACAAACUCUAAGUGGUGAGAUGUACCUCUCUGGCAGUCCAAUGCUUUUACCAUGGCUCAUUGUAUUUUUUGUAAAUAUUGUGCAAUCUGGUGCUCCACACUGCUGCUUAUUACUCUGACACUGCAUCCCUCAUUCAGCUACUUUAUAUGGAUUACACAAGGGAGGGCAAGACAACAUUAUGACGACAGUAGGCCUACAGUUGCAUGACCAUAUGUUGAUGUGCUUGGUGCAUCGUGCCCAAAUAUGGUUCAUAACUGACAAAAGGAUCAAACUGACGUCAGAGAGAUAAUGUGAUAAGGAAUUAUUUCAUUGGGCCCUGGCCACUGCAGAUGUCUUGUAAACUUGAGACAGAGAGGAUAAGAGUGCAGAUGGCGUCAAUAUCCACAAUAAACACAAGACUUUGACCGUGGCUGGCACAAACACAGUUUCUUCACUCCACUCCAGACACUGUAUAUGACAGGCUGUGCUGUACUGAACAACAGACAGAAGCAAUACCACAUUCAGAUGUGAGGGGUUCACCUCUGCUUAAAAGUCAUGGCUCUGGAAUCAACCAUUUCACCUCAACACUGCAGCCUCCCAUCUGUCCAGUACCGGUACAGACAUGGUGAAGAAGACAAAAAAUAUCAAAGCGUGAGUAAAAGGAGCUCCAAAGACUGGUACCCUCCAGACCUGGCCUUUGUGAGGAGCAGGCAGCACAUAAGGAGGAUGAUAACGGAUAAAAAGCUCAAUGGACUGGUUAUAGAGACGUUCCUGACACCUGCAAGAGGUUACUUACAGCACUUUGAGUCAAAUUAGCAAAUGAGAAGAAAGAGGUGCUUAGCUUAUCAUCUGAGGGGAAGCAGUACAAGACUUCAGCACCUCACAGACUUAACAGUUACUGUCUGUCAUUAAUACCGUCCAUGGUCACUCAUCAUCAAUGUCAGAACUGUCAACAUUCACAACAUGAUGUGGACUAUUUAAGACUCUGUAAAUAUGUAUAAUAUUUUUUGCUACUGCAUAUUUAAUAAAUAUACUUUAUAUAUGAUAUAAAAAGGUA